This 77-nucleotide small nucleolar RNA is filed under the name Neogale vison (American mink). Its description in RNAcentral is "Neovison vison (American mink) Small nucleolar RNA SNORA25 (ENSNVIG00000021224.1)". The record is from RNAcentral. Lineage: Eukaryota; Metazoa; Chordata; Mammalia; Carnivora; Mustelidae.
AGAUCAUUUGAAAGACAGCUUGUGGGGCUGGGAAACCAGGAGCUCUAAGACUGUGACCAAAGACCAAAGACCAAAGA